This is a long non-coding RNA of Corapipo altera (White-ruffed manakin), 593 nucleotides long. RefSeq lists it as uncharacterized. NCBI's taxonomy places the organism in Eukaryota, Metazoa, Chordata, Aves, Passeriformes, Pipridae. The record is from RefSeq and is a predicted model, not a curated record. The transcript is spliced from 3 exons.
GGAGGAGGUCCUGAGUACUGAGAUGGUUACCUAGUCCCUUCCCACAUCUUGAAGCAGAUGUAUCAUUCCCUGAAGCAUUCAGCAGGAAGAGAACCUGGUGCCAGGCACGGGAUUGGCAGGCGAACUGUGGGCAGCCAAGGAACCUCUGCACAAGCAGCAUCAUGCAACACCUGAUCCAAAGCCCAAAGCAGCAGCCAUCGUCUCCAACACGCUUUGAACACGCUUGCUCACUCAACACCAGAGGUGGCUGAUCAACAGGUUCUACAAUUCCUGAAAGAAUACAAUAAAAAUAGUAACACAUUUUGACAAUAAUUAACAUUCUUAUACACCACAUUCUACACUACCUUGUUUUUGGCCCUGCUUAGUAUUAUGGUCAGAGCAGUAGUACCUAGGAAAGUCUCAAAAUCGUGGAAAAAUAUGGCCAACAUGUGAGCCUGUUGAUUUAAAUCCCAUCCUGGAUCUAGUAUCAGAUCUCUGUGUGAGAAUAAAGUGAAACAUGCAAAACAGGGCCAAUUGUGGUGACUGUACAGAUCAAAGUGGGAAACUGCAGAGAGAAAUGUGGGAUCCAUUGGGUUUCAAAAAUCAACUGUAGG